Molecule: ribosomal RNA, 856 nt
Filed under: uncultured bacterium
Lineage: Bacteria
Description: bacterial SSU rRNA
Rfam family: Bacterial small subunit ribosomal RNA
Source: RNAcentral
AGUCGAACGCUGAUUUCGAGGUAGCAAUAUUUUGAAGUCGGAGUGGCGCAAGGGUGCGUAACACGUGGGCAAUUUGCCAUAAAGUUUGGGAUAAUCCCGCGAAAGCGGGACUAAUACCGGAUGUGAAUAUUGAGAGACAUCUCUUGAUAUUUAAAGUUGGGGACCGUAAGGCCUGACGCUUUAUGAUGAGCCCGCGGCCUAUCAGCUAGUUGGUGAGGUAACGGCCCACCAAGGCUUAGACGGGUAGCUGGUCUGAGAGGACGACCAGCCACACUGGAACUGAGACACGGUCCAGACACCUACGGGUGGCAGCAGUCGAGAAUUUUUCUCAAUGGGCGAAAGCCUGAAGGAGCGACGCCGCGUGGGGGAUGAAGGGCUUCGGUCUGUAAACCCCUGUCAUUUGCGAACAAACCUUCUCAUUGAAUAGGUGAGAAGCUGAUUGUAGUGAAAGAGGAAGGGACGGCUAACUCUGUGCCAGCAGCCGCGGUAAUACAGAGGUCCCAAGCGUUGUUCGGAUUCACUGGGCGUAAAGGGUGCGUAGGUGGCGAGGUAAGUUUGGUGUGAAAUCUCUGAGCUCAACUCAGAAACUGCAUUAAAUACUACUUUGCUGGAGGGUCGGAAGGGAGACUGGAAUUCUCGGUGUAGCGGUGAAAUGCGUAGAUAUCGAGAGGAACACCAGUGGCGAAAGCGAGUCUCUGGACGACUCCUGACACUGAGGCACGAAAGCUAGGGGAGCAAACAGGAUUAGAUACCCUGGUAGUCCUAGCCGUAAACGGUGCACAUUUGCCGUGAGAGGAAUCGACCCCUUUCGUGGCGCAGCCAACGCGUUAAAUGUGCCGCCUGGGAAGUACGGUCG